Molecule: ribosomal RNA, 440 nt
Filed under: uncultured bacterium
Lineage: Bacteria
Description: partial 16S ribosomal RNA
Rfam family: Bacterial small subunit ribosomal RNA
Source: RNAcentral
CCUACGGGUGGCAGCAGUAGGGAAUAUUGCUCAAUGGGGGAAACCCUGAAGCAGCAACGCCGCGUGGAGGAUGAAGGUUUUCGGAUUGUAAACUCCUUUUGUUAGAGAAGAUAAUGACGGUAUCUAACGAAUAAGCACCGGCUAACUCCGUGCCAGCAGCCGUGGUAAUACGGAGGGUGCAAGCGUUAUUCGGAAUCACUGGGCGUAAAGAGCGCGUAGGCGGGAUAGCAAGUCAGAUGUGAAAUCCUAUGGCUUAACCAUAGAACUGCAUUUGAAACUGUUAUUCUGGAGUAUGGGAGAGGUAGGUGGAAUGCUUGGUGUAGGGGUAAAAUCCGUAGAGAUCAAGAAGAAUACUCAUUGCGAAGGCGACCUACUAGAACAUAACUGACGCUGAUGCGCGAAAGCGUGGGGAGCGAACAGGAUUAGAUACCCGGGUAGUC